Molecule: ribosomal RNA, 301 nt
Filed under: uncultured bacterium
Lineage: Bacteria
Description: partial 16S ribosomal RNA
Rfam family: Bacterial small subunit ribosomal RNA
Source: RNAcentral
CAGUCGCCACGGGAAUACGGAGGGAGCUAGCGUUGUUCGGAAUUACUGGGCGUAAAGCGCACGUAGGUGGUGGUUUAAGUCCGUUGUGAAAGCCCUGGGCUCAACCUGGGAAUUGCAGUGGAUACUGGGUCACUAGAGUGUGGUAGAGGAUAGUGGAAUUUCCGGUGUAGCAGUGAAAUGCGUAGAGAUCGGAAGGAACAUCUGUGGCGAAGGCGACUAUCUGGGCCAACACUGACACUGAGGCACGAAAGCGUGGGGAGCAAACAGGAUUAGAUACCCCCGUAGUCCCUGUCUCUUAUAC